RNAcentral lists this long non-coding RNA (425 nucleotides) under Carica papaya (papaya). Its description in RNAcentral is "long non-coding RNA (CPAP_LNC011504)". Lineage: Eukaryota; Viridiplantae; Streptophyta; Magnoliopsida; Brassicales; Caricaceae. The record is from RNAcentral.
CCUACAUUCUUCUUCCUUCUAUUCCUUCAUCUUCUCUCUCUAGCUCUCUCUCUCUCUCUAUCUCUAGAAUUAUUUUGGUGAAUGGGAAAAUAAAGAUGAAGUGACGAAGGAGUGGUGAAAAGGGUCCUUAUUUAUAGAAAAAGGGAACUGCUGGAUUUCUGCCAAGUGGUGCAAAUAGGUGAGGAGAGAGAUAGACUGAUGCAACGCGAUGCAACGACUAAUGGUCGUGACUGAUAGAUAGCCGACGAGACAUGACGAUGUGAUGGAGGUAUAAAAAUUGGAGACACGUCAACCGAGGAACAAUGCAUGCCUCCCAAACGGCAGCAGUGAACGUUCCAAGGUUAUCGCGAAAACAGGGAAAAAUUUCUCGCGACCUUUUCGUGGGAUUUCUCCACUGUUUUCCUUCUUUGUUUUUCCUAAAAUUU